GUCGGGAUAGUUCAGUUGGUAGAGCAGUGGACUGAAAAUUCUCGUGUCACGGGUUUAAAUCUUGUUCCUGGCA
This is a non-coding RNA of Daucus carota subsp. sativus, 73 nucleotides long. The record is from Rfam. NCBI's taxonomy places the organism in Eukaryota, Viridiplantae, Streptophyta, Magnoliopsida, Apiales, Apiaceae.